RNAcentral lists this small RNA (134 nucleotides) under Marmota monax (woodchuck). Lineage: Eukaryota; Metazoa; Chordata; Mammalia; Rodentia; Sciuridae. The record is from RNAcentral.
GCUGGGCAUGGUGGCUCACACCUGUAAUCCCAAUGGCUUGGGUGGCUGAGGCAGGAGAAUCAAAGAGAGUUCAAAGCCAACCUCACUCAGUAACUUAGUGAGGCCCUGAACAAUUCGGUGAGACCCAGUCUCUA